UACGUAGGGUGCGAGCGUUAAUCGGAAUUACUGGGCGUAAAGCGUGCGCAGGCGGCUUUGCAAGACAGAUGUGAAAUCCCCGGGCUCAACCUGGGAACUGCAUUUGUGACUGCAAGGCUAGAGUACGGCAGAGGGGGAUGGCAUUCCGCGUGUAGCAGUGAAAUGCGUAGAUAUGCGGAGGAACACCAAUGGCGAAGGCAAUCCCCUGGGCCUGUACUGACGCUCAUGCACGAAAGCGUGGGGAGCAAACAGG
Molecule: ribosomal RNA, 253 nt
Filed under: uncultured bacterium
Lineage: Bacteria
Description: partial 16S ribosomal RNA
Rfam family: Bacterial small subunit ribosomal RNA
Source: RNAcentral